UAGUCCUAGCCCUAAACGAUGCGCACUAGGUAGCGGGAUAUUCCGAGAUUUCGCUGCCGGAGCAAAAGUUUUAAGUGCGCCGCCUGGGGACUACGGUCGCAAGGCUAAAACUCAAAGGAAUUGACGGGGGCUCACACAAGCGGUGGAGGAUGUUGCUUAAUUCGAAGCAACGCGAAGAACCUUACCAGGACUUGACAUACUGGUGGUACGAACUGGAAACAGGGAGGACCUAGUUUACUAGGAGCCAGUACAGGUGUUGCAUGGCUGUCGUCAGCUCGUGCCGUGAGGUGUUGGGUUAAGUCCCAUAACGAGCGAAACCCCUGCUACUAGUUGCCAGCGGAUAAUGCCGGGGACUCUAGUGGGACUGCCGGUGUCAAGCCGGAGGAGGGUGGGGACGACGUCAAGUCAUCAUGGCCCUUGCGUCCUGGGGCUGCAAACGUCCUACAAUGGCCGGUACAAAGGGGUUGCCAACCCGCGAGGGGGAGCUAAU
This 490-nucleotide ribosomal RNA is filed under the name uncultured bacterium. RNAcentral's name for it is "bacterial SSU rRNA". It matches the Rfam family "Bacterial small subunit ribosomal RNA", at positions 791 to 1272 of the family's 1533-position model. The record is from RNAcentral.